AUAUCUCGAACCAUCUCUCCCAUUUGCGGAGAGAGGCUGGAGGAAAAUGAAGAAAGAACUGGAGUUUCUUGUGAAUUAUGAGGGAUGAAACAUGCAGAGCAUCAGUGUGGACCUUCAUCUUCCUCGGUUUUCUCAGGUCGACUCUGGCAGCCGGUGACAACUUCAUCCUUCCUGCAGAGCUCCAUCACUCCGGCUGUUGUUUUCCUCCUCAUCCUCCUCCUCCUCUAGUCGACCUGUUCUUCCUGCUGUGUGACAGACUGAGUCACAUCUCUGUCAGUCUGUCUUCCUCCUUCAGUCCAUCACUCCCCCUCUCAGAGACAGCAACAGGAGCAACAGCUCAUAUUUUAUAUCUGUUCAAAAUGUAGCUUAGAGGAAGA
This is a long non-coding RNA of Sebastes umbrosus (honeycomb rockfish), 377 nucleotides long. RefSeq lists it as uncharacterized. Lineage: Eukaryota; Metazoa; Chordata; Actinopteri; Perciformes; Sebastidae. The transcript is spliced from 3 exons. The record is from RefSeq and is a predicted model, not a curated record.